UAAAAAUCGCGCCCCGGCGCUGGCCCAAAAUCUGACAUUUUCUACUCCAACGUCCUUUGGGAAAAUGGUCAUAACGUCUUCGUCCGAACUCCGAUUUUGAUGAUUAAAGAUGUUCCAGAAAGAGGAGAAGUAGAUCUACAACUUUCAUUCUUGAAGUUUGUCGAAAUAAUGUCAAGAGCUAUAGUCAAAUUGUCUCCGAAGUGGCUGAUGUGUAAAUGGCAAGCCGAAAACGCGAAUCUAGCCACCCCAAACAUCGAUCCAUGUAACUUUUAUCCCAAUUCCUAUAAAAUAACAUAAAACAUGCAUGAAUAGACACAAACACAUAAAAACAUCCUAAAAGACUUAAGAACAACAAUAAAUUAAGCCCGAA
This 370-nucleotide long non-coding RNA is filed under the name Panax ginseng (ginseng). RNAcentral describes it as "long non-coding RNA (PGIN_LNC015852)". The record is from RNAcentral. Lineage: Eukaryota; Viridiplantae; Streptophyta; Magnoliopsida; Apiales; Araliaceae.